Molecule: small RNA, 76 nt
Filed under: Salmonella enterica subsp. enterica serovar Typhimurium str. SL1344
Lineage: Bacteria; Pseudomonadati; Pseudomonadota; Gammaproteobacteria; Enterobacterales; Enterobacteriaceae
Also listed under: 1 other name
Description: STnc850
Source: RNAcentral
GUUCUGAAUAACAAAGCAUAAAAAAGCUGUACUCUGCAAGUUAGCCCCUCAUUCGCUCAGGCUGAGGGGCUUUUUU